GAAAAUUAAACAGUUAUCAAGGUUAAUUUCAAGGGUCUAUACAGAAUUAAAAUCAUGUAAGACUAAUUAAUGCCUGGUAAAGUACAGAUGUUUCUGAUCAAGAGCUUCUCCAAAAAUCAUAUAAUUUUCCAUUUUUUGGGUGGCAAUUAAAAAACAUUACUGAUUUGUAAAAUAUAUGGAUAUAUAGUUACUGGAGUUUAUAUAUCUGCAUGUAAGAAAUGAUUGAAUAUAAUAGCUUCCGCUGUUGUUGGAUGAAGAACUUACUCCCAUGGGACAUCACCCACGAGCAUCCAGUCACCAUCCUUAUCUUCAUAGGUUGGCACAUACUCGGAGCUGUUAAGAAGAUCCAUCAACUUGCGCUCAUUCAUGAAGUCUAUCAUUCCUUGGGCCCCAUAAUUACCUUCACCAGUUCCAACAUAAAAACAUAAGUAAAUAGCAUGAAAAUAUUUUGAUAUUAAACUAUUUUAUGGUUAAUCACAGGUAAGAACCUGCAAUCUUAUAUCUGAAUGUAACAUGCAUCAAGGAUUUAAAACUUUAUAUCAUAUAUAAUAAACAGUAUUCCUUUUACGUCCCUUGUUCUAUUUCUUUUCUAGUGUUACAUCCAUAUAAAAUAAUGAGGUUUCGACACACUUGCACAAGUGGGUUGGAGAAGAAAGAAAUAAAUAAGAGAAAAGAGAAGUCCGUGUAAUGAAAAAGAUUGAGAAGAAAGAAUUUAGUGUAAAAUAGGUGCAGAGAAUAGAUGGUAAAAACUAAGCUGCUGUAGAUGUUUAGUUGGUAUUUUGUGUGUGUGUGUUUGUGCAUGACUCUCUUGCAUAUUAUCAAUAUAUAAUUUGAGUCACAUGGUUGUGGUAAAAGUGGUUUAAAUAGAGAGGGAAAUAUAAUGGAAAAAUAUGGAUCACAUGUAGUAGGUUUUAUUGUAGUGCUAACCCAUGGUGAAGGAGCUGAACAUUUUGGCCAAGGCAUCAGAUAAGUCUUUGUAGCUUUUGUACAUUGUGAGGUCCACCUUGCGAAGGUAAGGUGCUCCAUCCAUGGAAACUUUGACAAAUGCCCCAGAAGCAGUGCUGCUUGUUGUCUUCUCAGCUCCAUCCUCAGUGCUAACCUUCUGGGUCAUCAUGUUCUUUCUGUAUGACCUCACUGGUGGCCAACCAACUACUUGAGCUCUGAAACAUAUAUAUCAUUCCAAAUCCCAUCAAUCUUACACAUCUUUCUCAUAUCUCCCUCUUCUUAUACAAGAAGUUGGAAAAUUUCAUACCUUAUGCAAACACUAACAUCGAAUAAACUUUAAGAAAAAUAUGUAUAGGUAGUUACCAGAAAAAAUAAUAAACACUAAGAAGUUGCUUAUAUAUAUAUCAACUUGUAGUUCGUUCAUUAGAACUAUUAGUUUUUAGUAAAUGUGAAAAAUCAGGUUAUAUGGAACCCAACAAGACAUAUAUAUAUAUAUAUAUAUAUAUAUAUAUAUAUAUAUAUAUAUGAUGCUAAACUGCUAAACGAUGAAGAAAGAAAAGAUUUGAGAACAGAAGCAUGCAAAAACCUUUAGCUACAAAAGAAAAGGGGGGAAAUGGCUUACUUAGCAGGUUGCUUGGUAGGAUCCUUAAGGAGAGUCUUCUCCUCUGGGGCAUUCUUCAGAUUCUCGUUGAGAUCUUCCUUGGCCUGAAGAUUAAGCUUCAGAUCAACUGUCUCAGAGAACCCUCUCUUCCCAGUAGCCCUUGGUGUUUCCACCUCAGAGCCGCCGCC
This 1734-nucleotide long non-coding RNA is filed under the name Phaseolus vulgaris (common bean). RNAcentral describes it as "long non-coding RNA (PVUL_LNC002108)". The record is from RNAcentral. Lineage: Eukaryota; Viridiplantae; Streptophyta; Magnoliopsida; Fabales; Fabaceae.